This 787-nucleotide ribosomal RNA is filed under the name uncultured bacterium. RNAcentral's name for it is "bacterial SSU rRNA". It matches the Rfam family "Bacterial small subunit ribosomal RNA", at positions 95 to 878 of the family's 1533-position model. The record is from RNAcentral.
GUGGCGAACGGGUGAGUAAUAUAUCGGAACGUGCCCAGUCGUGGGGGAUAACGCAGCGAAAGCUGUGCUAAUACCGCAUACGAUCCAUGGAUGAAAGCGGGGGACUCGCAAAGCCUCGCGCGAUUGGAGCGGCCGAUAUCAGAUUAGGUAGUUGGUGGGGUAAAAGCUCACCAAGCCGACGAUCUGUAGCUGGUCUGAGAGGACGACCAGCCACACUGGAACUGAGACACGGUCCAGACUCCUACGGGAGGCAGCAGUGGGGAAUUUUGGACAAUGGGCGCAAGCCUGAUCCAGCAAUGCCGCGUGCAGGAUGAAGGCCUUCGGGUUGUAAACUGCUUUUGUACGGAGCGAAACGGUCUGCUUUAAUACAGUGGGCUAAUGACGGUACCGUAAGAAUAAGCACCGGCUAACUACGUGCCAGCAGCCGCGGUAAUACGUAGGGUGCGAGCGUUGAUCGGAAUUACUGGGCGUAAAGCGUGCGCAGGCGGUUAUAUAAGACAGAUGUGAAAUCCCCGGGCUCAACCUGGGACCUGCAUUUGUGACUGUAUAGCUAGAGUACGGUAGAGGGGGAUGGAAUUCCACGUGUAGCAGUGAAAUGCGUAGAUAUGCGGAGGAACACCGAUGGCGAAGGCAAUCCCCUGGACCUGUACUGACGCUCAUGCACGAAAGCGUGGGGAGCAAACAGGAUUAGAUACCCUGGUAGUCCACGCCCUAAACGAUGUCAACUGGUUGUUGGGUCUUCACUGACUCAGUAACGAAGCUAACGCGUGAAGUUGACCGCCUGGGG